UCCUAGUUAACCUAGGCAGUCUCGUUAGAGUUCCCGCCAUUACGCGCUGGCAACUAACGAUAAGGGUUGCGCUCGUUGCUGGACUUAACCAAACACCUCACGGCACGAGCUGACGACAGCCAUGCAGCACCUAUAUAGAGACCCUUUCGAGAAACAUCAUCUCUGAUGUCGUCCUCUACAUUUCGAGCCCAGGUAAGGUUCUUCGCGUAGCAUCGAAUUAAACCACAUGCUCCACUGCUUGUGCGGGCCCCCGUCAAUUCUUUUGAGUUUCACCCUUGCGAGCGUACUCCCCAGGCGGUAUACUUAACGCGUUAGCUCCGAUACAGAAAGGGUUGAGCCUUCCUACAUCCAGUAUACAUCGUUUACGGCUAGGACUAC
This 378-nucleotide unclassified non-coding RNA is filed under the name uncultured Chlamydiales bacterium. RNAcentral's name for it is "contains 16S-23S intergenic spacer region". The record is from RNAcentral. Lineage: Bacteria; Pseudomonadati; Chlamydiota; Chlamydiia; Chlamydiales.